CCUCUUUAAAUGUCUUGCUGAUACCAUAUUGCCAGCUCCUACACUCUGUAUGGUCCUUACAUACUUCAAGUUAGCCUUCAUAAAUGACGCCACUUGUCGAUAUUCUAUCGAUCCACGAUUCCGAUAAAAAGACUUCCCACAUUUGAUGCUACAAAUCUCCUGCAUAAGUGUACUUGAUCAGACAUUGCAAAAAGCAAGAAGUCACACUUAUGAAAUCAAAAACACCGAGCCUAAAUACAUGCCAU
Molecule: long non-coding RNA, 245 nt
Organism: Arabidopsis thaliana (thale cress)
Lineage: Eukaryota; Viridiplantae; Streptophyta; Magnoliopsida; Brassicales; Brassicaceae
Product: other RNA
Exons: 1
Source: RefSeq